Helianthus annuus (common sunflower) is the source of this 664-nucleotide long non-coding RNA. RefSeq lists it as uncharacterized. The record is from RefSeq and is a predicted model, not a curated record. Lineage: Eukaryota; Viridiplantae; Streptophyta; Magnoliopsida; Asterales; Asteraceae. The transcript is spliced from 2 exons.
GUUAAGGUCAAACACGAAACAUGACAACUUCGUGUAGGUUCGUGUCGUGUUAUCGUGUUAUCGUGUCAGAAUUGCCAGCCCUAGGUUUAGGACAAAAAAACCAAAUCUUUUUUCCAAUUUUUCAAAUCGAGUCAGGUCCAAAUCAGUAUCAGGAAACGAGACCACAAACCGGUAUACCAACUGGCUGGUUUAGAUUAAGUCCAAAUUGGGCCAAACCCGUUAUUUUAUACCUCUAGCCCAAACCCACAAACACUAUAUAGACCUACAAACCCAGAUCUAUCGGCCCACUAAGCAUUAGGGUUCGCUAAAUAACCCCCACAACAUCCAUAACAUCCUGAUCUCUUCACAAUCUAUCAGCGUCGGCUGCUAGGGUUCCAUAACCUAACCAGAAAAGUCACAACUUUCGGUUUCCGAUCACCAUGAGGGCCAAGUGGAAGAAGAAGAGAAUGAGGAGGUUGAAGAGGAAGCGCCGAAAGAUGAGGCAGAGAUCUAAGUAAUCUGUUUAUCGGGAAUAAUAUGGUACCAGUAAUCGUCAGUUUAUGUUUUGUGUUUUCUGUUUGAAGUAUGAUGUUUGAACUUAUCGUAACGUUGUAGGUUUUUUGUUGGAUUGAGUUUUAUGACUUUUAUGAUAUGAAUUUAGCUUAAAAUGUUAUGGUUCUGCAUA